RNAcentral lists this transfer RNA (59 nucleotides) under Calycularia crispula. RNAcentral's name for it is "partial tRNA-His". Lineage: Eukaryota; Viridiplantae; Streptophyta; Jungermanniopsida; Fossombroniales; Calyculariaceae. The record is from RNAcentral.
GGCGGACCUAGCCAAGUGGAUAAGAGCAGUGAGAUUGUGGAACCUCCACGCGCGCGUCG